AUGUGGCGAGAGGAUUCAGUCUGGCGUCUCGUGCGUGCUUGACCGGAAGACAAUCAUGGCUUCCCGGGAUCGGGUGCCGUCCGGUCGCACGGUCGCGUCCCGUCAGACGCAUUUGACUCUCGCCCGAAGGACGCUGCAGCCGGUGGGGCAGUGGAAAACGUGACGGCCUGAAAGUCGGGAGAUGGCAGUUGACCGGUGGCGCGCACUCAGCGCGCCUGCCGGUUGUUAGCCGUCCCGUCUGUGGCCCGUCGCCCCACCGUGGUGUCGCUAGGCCCUAACGGGCUCUCCUCCGUCUCCUUUAAAAUCGAAGCGAGUAGAUCGCCGCUGGAGCGGGCAGCCGACACGUCGCACUCAUUGCGUGUGGACGGUCGAGCGAGUCCACCCCGCAGGCGGCCGGCAGGGCUCGUAGGAGGUCGGAGGCUCGCAGCGAGUAGGUCGGUCACCCACCCGACCCGUCUUGAAACACGGACCAAGGAGUCUAACAUGUGCGCGAGUCAAUGGGUCUUGAACAGGCCCAGAGGCGCAAUGAAAGCAAAGGCAGGGCGUCGUGCCGGCCGAGUUGGGAUCCCCGCUUCACGGCGGGGCGCACCAACGACCCGUCCCGUCCGGCUCGCCGGUGGGGCGGAGUGUGAGCGUACACGUUGGGACCCGAAAGAUGGUGAACUAUGCCCGGACAGGACGAAGCCAGAGGAAACUCUGAUGGAGGUCCGCAGCGGUUCUGACGUGCAAAUC
Molecule: ribosomal RNA, 732 nt
Filed under: Portia quei
Lineage: Eukaryota; Metazoa; Arthropoda; Arachnida; Araneae; Salticidae
Description: eukaryotic LSU rRNA
Rfam family: Eukaryotic large subunit ribosomal RNA (bases 469-732)
Source: RNAcentral